Molecule: unclassified non-coding RNA, 307 nt
Filed under: plant metagenome
Description: partial contains 5.8S ribosomal RNA, internal transcribed spacer 2, and large subunit ribosomal RNA
Rfam family: 5.8S ribosomal RNA (bases 1-105)
Source: RNAcentral
GAAAUGCGAUAAGUAGUGUGAAUUGCAGAAUUCAGUGAAUCAUCGAAUCUUUGAACGCACAUUGCGCCCUUUGGUAUUCCAAAGGGCAUGCCUGUUCGAGCGUCAUUUGUACCCUCAAGCUUUGCUUGGUGUUGGGCGUCUUGUCUCUAGCUUUGCUGGAGACUCGCCUUAAAGUAAUUGGCAGCCGGCCUACUGGUUUCGGAGCGCAGCACAAGUCGCACUCUCUAUCAGCAAAGGUCUAGCAUCCAUUAAGCCUUUUUUUCAACUUUUGACCUCGGAUCAGGUAGGGAUACCCGCUGAACUUAAG